GUGGGGAAUCUUCCGCAAUGGACGAAAGUCUGACGGAGCAACGCCGCGUGAGUGAAGAAGGUUUUCGGAUCGUAAAGCUCUUUCGUUAGGGACGAACGUGCUCUUUGUGAAUAAUGAGGAGUAAUGACGGUACCUAAAUAAGAAGCCACGGCUAACUACGUUCCAGCAGCCGCGGUAAUACGUAGGUGGCAAGCGUUGUCCGGAAUUAUUGGGCGUAAAGCGCGCGCAGGCGGGAUAUCAAGUCUGUCUUAAAAGUGCGAGGCUCAACCUCGUGAGGGGACAGAAACUGGUAUUCUUGAGUGUCGGAGAGGAAAGUGGAAUUCCAAGUGUAGCGGUGAAAUGCGUAGAGAUUUGGAAGAACACCAGUGGCGAAGGCGACUUUCUGGACGAUGUCUGACGCUGAGGCGCGAAAGCUAGGGGAGCGAACGGGAUUAGAUACCCGAGUAGUCC
RNAcentral lists this ribosomal RNA (450 nucleotides) under uncultured bacterium. RNAcentral describes it as "partial 16S ribosomal RNA". It matches the Rfam family "Bacterial small subunit ribosomal RNA", at positions 354 to 796 of the family's 1533-position model. The record is from RNAcentral.